AUGAAAAUCGUAAGUUGGAACUGCCGGGGACUCGGGAACGGCCCGGCAGUUCGUAGCCUCCUUGACAUGGGGAGGAAGGAGGAGCCCGAUAUUUUGUCCUUAGCUAAAACGAAGAUGACGGUGAAGGAGCUGGAGAGGUUUAGAUGGAUGCUGGGACUAACAAACAUGAACGCUUGGAACCCUGAUGGGAGGAGUCGAGGUGUGGCCAUGUUUUGGAUAAGAGGAGUUGAUGUGACACUAAGAUCGUAUGGCCGAAGGCAUGUUGAUGUGGAUGUAUGUGAGGAAAAUGGUAUGGUUUGGCGCCUUACAGGAAUCUAUGGGGAGUCAGUGUCAGAGAGGAAGAUUGAGACGUGA
RNAcentral lists this ribosomal RNA (354 nucleotides) under Triticum aestivum (bread wheat). Its description in RNAcentral is "partial small subunit ribosomal RNA". Lineage: Eukaryota; Viridiplantae; Streptophyta; Magnoliopsida; Poales; Poaceae. The record is from RNAcentral.